This 442-nucleotide ribosomal RNA is filed under the name uncultured bacterium. RNAcentral's name for it is "partial 16S ribosomal RNA". It matches the Rfam family "Bacterial small subunit ribosomal RNA", at positions 338 to 795 of the family's 1533-position model. The record is from RNAcentral.
CCUACGGGAGGCAGCAGUAGGGAAUCUUUCACAAUGGGCGAAAGCCUGAUGGAGCAACGCCGCGUGCAGGAUGGAGGCCUUCGGGUUGUAAACUGCUUUUAUAAGCGAGAAAUAUGAUGGUAACUUAUGAAUAAGGAUCGGCUAACUACGUGCCAGCAGCCGCGGUCAUACGUAGGAUCCGAGCAUUAUCCGGAGUGACUGGGUGUAAAGAGUUGCGUAGGUGGCAUAAUAAGUAGCUAGUGAAAUCUGGUGGCUCAACCAUUCAGACUAUUAGCUAAACUGUUAAGCUCGAGACCGUUAGGGGUAACUGGAAGUUCUAGUGUAGGAGUGAAAUCCGUAGAUAUUAGAAGGAACACCAAUAGCGUAGGCAGGUUGCUGGGACGGUUCUGACACUAAGGCACGAAAGCGUAGGGAGCAAACGGGAUUAGAUACCCCUGUAGUC